AACGAACGCUGGCGGUAUGCUUAACACAUGCAAGUCGAACGAACAAAAUUGGGGCUUGCUCCAAUUUUAGUGAGUGGCAAACGGGUGAGUAACACGUGGGAAUCUACCUAUCAGUACGGAAUAACAUUUGGAAACAGAUGCUAAUACCGUAUAUUCUCCAAGGAGGAAAGAUUUAUCGCUGAUAGAUGAGCCCGCGCAAGAUUGGGUAGUUGGUAGGGUAAUGGCCUACCAAGCCUACGAUCUUUAGCUGGUCUGAGAGGAUGAUCAGCCACACUGGGACUGAGACACGGCCCAGACUCCUACGGGAGGCAGCAGUGGGGAAUAUUGGACAAUGAGCGAAAGCCUGAUCCAGCAAUACCGCGUGAAUGAUGAAGGCCUUAGGGUUGUAAAGUUCUUUUAGUUGGAAAGAUAAUGACGGUACCAACAGAAAAAGCCCCGGCUAACUCCGUGCCAGCCGCCGCCGUAA
Molecule: ribosomal RNA, 466 nt
Filed under: uncultured bacterium
Lineage: Bacteria
Description: partial 16S ribosomal RNA
Rfam family: Bacterial small subunit ribosomal RNA
Source: RNAcentral